CGAACAAGCAGGCGAGGAGGAAGAAGAAGAAGGCGCGGGGCUCGUUCCUGGUCGAGGAAGAAGAAGGCGCGGGAUCGGGGGAGAGAUGGCGAGACGGCGCACAACCGUGCACAACAGGCUAGGGCUGCUCUGCUUCCGCGAAAAAGAGGGGCAAACUGGAAUAACUGGAAUAUUGGUGAGGCGAAAGCUGGGCCGCGGGGUCAAUCGGGGCCCGGCCUGCUUUAGCUGCUUGCGGCCGCGAAGCUGCGAACCAAACAGGAGCAUUUCGCGGUUUGGGGCCGCGAUGCUCCAAAAAUGCGGCCCCAAACAGGCUCUGAAUCAAACAGAGAUGGGAGCGUGCGGGUUUAAACCAAGCAACAGUAGAUGUCUAUGGCGGCGGUGACGACAAGAGAAGGCAGGGUCGACGUCGAUGCCAGAUACGUCCUUCGGUGCAUUAGAGUUAGAGGCAGGAGAUUGCGGGAGAUAGGAGCUUACGGGUUGGAACGAUAGAGCAUGAUGUGUCGAAAACGGCGUUGGUGGCGAUGUCCGAUGCUGCAGGAGGCGCCAUCCGGUUCAUGACAUUGAGAUAGGAGGGAUGCAUGCGGGAGACAAGAGCUUACAGGUUUAGCAGCGCACCGUUUUAAAUACCUAAAUCGAAUACGGGGCAAAUCGCCUUAUCCUUUCAAAGGCGAAGAUUUGUGCGCCUUCACAGUUUUGGGGCAUACACCUCACGCUAACCUAGCGAGGCACAUGCCUUGACUUGGAAAAUUCUUCAAUUGUGCAGAGGUCAGAGCAAUAUGUAGGGAUUUUGACAUCAUCUGUAUACGUAGAGAAGGGAAGAAUAUCGAACAUAUAAUAUCCAAUGACGAAAUAUUGCCAGAAAAUAAGGUGUGAAAGAGCAAUAUCAUAGAUGAGAUCAUACCGAAUCAAAUUAGUUUGACAAAAGUGAGGUAAUUUUUUUUUUUUCGGACGUUAUGCAGAGCCUAUAUUCAAUUCUGCUCCUCAUUAAGUUCAAACUUAAAAGAACUUGGGAACUCGUAGAAUUUAUUUUUACAGAGCAAUGUUCUGUU
Phalaenopsis equestris is the source of this 1049-nucleotide long non-coding RNA. RefSeq lists it as uncharacterized. The transcript has 3 exons. NCBI's taxonomy places the organism in Eukaryota, Viridiplantae, Streptophyta, Magnoliopsida, Asparagales, Orchidaceae. The record is from RefSeq and is a predicted model, not a curated record.